RNAcentral lists this ribosomal RNA (449 nucleotides) under uncultured Planctomyces sp. Its description in RNAcentral is "bacterial SSU rRNA". It matches the Rfam family "Bacterial small subunit ribosomal RNA", at positions 32 to 504 of the family's 1533-position model. The record is from RNAcentral. Lineage: Bacteria; Pseudomonadati; Planctomycetota; Planctomycetia; Planctomycetales; Planctomycetaceae.
AAACGUUGGCGGCGUGGACUAGCAUUCAGUCGAGCGAGAACCCGCAAGGGGGGACAGCGGCAACGGGGUAUAGUCGGAACGUGCCCUCUGGUCGGGGAUAGCGGCGGGAAACUGCCCGGUAAUACCCGAUGAACUCGAGAGAGCAAAGGUGUGAUUCCGCCGGAGGAGCGGACGACAUGGUAUUAGCUAGUUGGCGGGGUAACGGCCCACCAAGGCUGUGAUGCCUAGGGGAUGUGAGAGCAUGAUCCCCACCAUUGGGACUGAGACACUGCCCAGACACCUACGGGUGGCUGCAGUCGAGAAUCUUCGUCAAUGGGCGAAAGCCUGAACGAGCGACGCCGCGUGCGGGAUGAAGGCCUUUGGGUUGUAAACCGCUGUCGAGGGGGAUGAAGGCUUGAAAGUCAUCUUUCAAGUUUGACAGAGCCCUGGAGGAAGCACGGGCUAAGUUC